UACGGGGGGGGCAAGCGUUGUUCGGAAUUACUGGGCGUAAAGGGUUCGUAGGUGGCUUGCUUAGUCAGACGUGAAAUCCCUCAGCUUAACCGGGGAACUGCGUCUGAUACUGGAUGGCUCGAGUUUGGGAGAGGGAUGCGGAAUUCCAGGUGUAGCGGUGAAAUGCGUAGAUAUCUGGAGGAACACCGGUGGCGAAGGCGGCAUCCUGGACCAAUACUGACGCUGAAUAGCGAAAGCCAGGGGAGCAAACGGG
This 253-nucleotide ribosomal RNA is filed under the name uncultured bacterium. RNAcentral describes it as "partial 16S ribosomal RNA". It matches the Rfam family "Bacterial small subunit ribosomal RNA", at positions 524 to 776 of the family's 1533-position model. The record is from RNAcentral.